AUUGAACGCUGGCGGCAGGCCUAACACAUGCAAGUCGAGCGGAUGAAGGGAGCUUGCUCCUGGAUUCAGCGGCGGACGGGUGAGUAAUGCCUAGGAAUCUGCCUGGUAGUGGGGGAUAACGUCCGGAAACGGGCGCUAAUACCGCAUACGUCCUGAGGGAGCAAGUGGGGGAUCUUCGGACCUCACGCUAUCAGAUGAGCCUAGGUCGGAUUAGCUAGUUGGUGGGGUAAAGGCCUACCAAGGCGACGAUCCGUAACUGGUCUGAGAGGAUGAUCAGUCACACUGGAACUGAGACACGGUCCAGACUCCUACGGGAGGCAGCAGUGGGGAAUAUUGGACAAUGGGCGAAAGCCUGAUCCAGCCAUGCCGCGUGUGUGAAGAAGGUCUUCGGAUUGUAAAGCACUUUAAGUUGGGAGGAAGGGCAGUAAGUUAAUACCUUGCUGUUUGGACGUUACCAACAGAAUAAGCACCGGCUAACUUCGG
Molecule: ribosomal RNA, 483 nt
Filed under: uncultured bacterium
Lineage: Bacteria
Description: partial 16S ribosomal RNA
Rfam family: Bacterial small subunit ribosomal RNA
Source: RNAcentral